CUAUAUGACUUCUUUUUUAGGCUAAUAUUUUUAGAACUAAAACUACUGAAUCUCUAUCAUUCCCUCUGUGUGUAAUGACCGUUGUCAACUCUUCACUGUGGAUGACCUACGGAUAUUUAAUAAAUGAUGUUUACGUUAUAGUAAGUAUAUUGGAGAAUACAUCAUAGUUGGAUUAUACUAAGUGCUCUCAUGCAGCAGAUAGUAUGGCCAACUAACAGUUUUGGAGUAGAUAUUAAACCAUGUUAAUUUUUUUUAUAAUAUUAGUAGUGUUGCAUCUGGUAUAUAGUCUGUAAAGAUACGAUGGUUUGGAAGCCAGGCAAAGUUCAAGGCCACAAAAUAGAAGAGCUUUGUUUGAUGUUGAACUGUACCUCACCCUACACAAAUCCUUCGUCUCAACUUCAUUAAAUAUUAUCCGACGUGGUUGCACUUUACAUCUCAGUUAUCGCCAAUUGGACGCUUACGUAAUUAUACGAAAAUACAACGCGUUUUAUAACCGUGACCGCGUACACGAAUCAACAUGAAAUCAGACAAAAACGGCAUAACACAAUGACUUCUGUAUACUGUAGUUUCCAGAAUCCAGACCAUCAUAUUUGGUAACCAAUAAGUGUAAUUUAGAGAUUUAGUUUAAUUUGCUAGUAUAACCUCAAAGCUUAAUUGCCUUUUUAAGCUUUUUUGGGUCCGUUCUGCCGGAUAGGAUAGCGAUUUUGUCAACCGUUGCCUAAAUGCUUACAAAGCUAUAAAAUUAUGGAUAUAGACUUCACAAUUAAUGAAGAGAAACUUCAAUUUAUAAAUGCUAAAGUUUAAUCUGGUUCUGGUUAUACCAAUCAAGGGCAAGGGACAAUUUUCGGAAGUAUGAAAAAAUCAUUAUCCGGUUUAUAAUGCCAUCUGGCUUUCGUACAACUGGCUUGGCCAGAAGUUGAGCACCAUCUGCUUUAUAAUACUUCCAACCUCCUGAAACCUAUCAACCACAAAAUUGAUAAGCUUCCCAGCUCAGGCCAAUAUUCACACUUUUUUUUCAUCGUUUCAGAUACCAAAUUUCCUUGGUCUUCUACUGGGACUCGUUCAAGUCGCGUUAUUCUGUAUUUAUCCAUCAAACGCAAAACCUGUCAUAGUUUCACUGUAAAACAGUAUCCUUCCCAAACGCAAUGAGUACUUGAACUUCCCGAGUCAUUGGAAAUUUUUUGCCAUGUUGUGAACUCUGUAUGACAUGGUGAAAUCUGUCCUCAAUGAACGGGAUUGUAACAUUUAAAUGUAUUUAACUAUAGUACAAUAUAUGGAAAUGUAACUAAUUGGCCCACGGAUGAUCCAAGAGCUUCACUACUUCAGGAAGGAAAAGAUAUAUAAUCUCGCACAGUGUAUAUGUCUAUAAAACGAGGAAACAGAAAGAUCUUCCGUGAAGAUGAACUAGUUGAGUCUAGUUCUGCUCAGAAGAACUUCCGUGCGUAAUUUCCAUUGCCAGAAAAGGUCGGGUUACAGUAUUCUAGAUGGUUCGAAUAGGACGAAUAGUAUAAACGUGUUGCCUUGUGAUCGAUGAUCCGUUCUCAAGUAACAAACCAAAUGUAUCAAUUAUAUUUUUACACGUAUGCAAUAUUUCUUUUCAAAACAAAAGAGCCGUCGAACCAGGCGUGUCUUCCAAUAUUAUCUGCAUCCGAAUCAGAGCGAGCUUCCUGUGUUUAUUUUUAACCAUGAAUUAAUAAUGAUCAUAAAUUAUACCUAAUGAUGAGCCAACCCCUGUAGCUUUGGUAUAAACAAUAUUAGAUGACCCCUGGUUCUGACCUGGUUUCAGUACAUGUCAACAUAUUUUGAAUAAUACAGUGUCGUUUAAUUUGAUACAUCUCUUAAAACCAUUUAUCCCUGCUGGCUCUUUGCUUGCCUGUCGCCUUUCGUGGAAAUCAUGUCGUUC
Molecule: long non-coding RNA, 1903 nt
Filed under: Paramuricea clavata
Lineage: Eukaryota; Metazoa; Cnidaria; Anthozoa; Malacalcyonacea; Plexauridae
Source: RNAcentral